AUGGUGCCCCAUCGGGUACAGCCCCCCCAGCGACUGACCAGCUGUUGAGCUCGAAUACCGUUCUUCCCGCCGACGAGCAGAUCCCGACGACGACCACACCCUCUCCCUUCGCCGGAUCGCCAAUCCCUCGGCCGGCGAAGCCGUCGGAGAUUCGUGGGAAACCCUAGACCGAAUUCCGGAGCUUCCGAAUAGCCGGAGCAUCGCCCGCUUCCGAUGGCAAACCAGCAAACGCCGUCGAGGCCGUGGAUCAUGGACGCAGCGCCGUACUUGGUGGUGCUCCUUAUAGCCGCUCACGUCUUCGCUUUGGUAUACUGGAUAUACAGAUUGGCUACUGAGAAGCAGCCUCAGAGAAGAAAGGCUCACUGAAGAACUUUCCCAUUUGCUAUUGAUGCGCCGAAGGAAGGUUACAGCUCAAAGAUGGUCCAUCUCGGGGAAAAUUCAGAAGAUGGAUUGCUAGAUAUACGGGGCGAGAACUUUUCACACAUGUUUUCUAACUCCAUACCUUCUCAUUACGUUCAAGGUCAUUGCUCUUACUUUGUACAGAGUACUUUGGACUUCCAGAUUCCUUUCUUGUGUUAGAUGAUGGUUACUGAGUGGCUGGUCUAUUGGAUGCAAUUAGUCUGGUGUCAUUCUGUUGACCUUUGCAGCCAGCCAACCGGUUGACAUUGCAUACUUUAUUUGUGAGUGAAGAAGGAAGUUUUCUUUCAGGGUA
Molecule: long non-coding RNA, 712 nt
Organism: Eucalyptus grandis
Lineage: Eukaryota; Viridiplantae; Streptophyta; Magnoliopsida; Myrtales; Myrtaceae
Exons: 3
Source: RefSeq, a predicted model, not a curated record